Molecule: ribosomal RNA, 253 nt
Filed under: uncultured bacterium
Lineage: Bacteria
Description: partial 16S ribosomal RNA
Rfam family: Bacterial small subunit ribosomal RNA
Source: RNAcentral
GACGUAGGGCGCGAGCGUUGUCCGGAUUUAUUGGGCGUAAAGAGCUCGUAGGCGGCUCGUUGCGUCGGCUGUGAAAACCCGCAGCUCAACUGUGGGCUUGCAGCUGAUACGGGCGGGCUGGAGUUCGGUAGGGGAGACUGGAAUUCUUGGUGUAGCGGUGAAAUGCGCAGAUAUCAGGAGGAACACCGGUGGCGAAGGCGGGUCUCUGGGCCGAUACUGACGCUGAGGAGCGAAAGCGUGGGGAGCGAACAGG